Molecule: ribosomal RNA, 479 nt
Filed under: uncultured bacterium
Lineage: Bacteria
Description: partial 16S ribosomal RNA
Rfam family: Bacterial small subunit ribosomal RNA
Source: RNAcentral
GAUGAACGCUAGCGGGAGGCCUAACACAUGCAAGCCGAGCGGUAGAGUUUCUUCGGAAACUUGAGAGCGGCGCACGGGUGCGUAACACGUGUGCAACCUACCUUUAUCUGGGGGAUAGCCCUUCGAAAGGAAGAUUAAUACCCCAUAAUAUAAUGAUUGGCAUCAAUUAUUAUUGAAAACUCCGGUGGAUAGAGAUGGGCACGCGCAAGAUUAGAUAGUUGGUGAGGUAACGGCUCACCAAGUCAAUGAUCUUUAGGGGUCCUGAGAGGGAGAUCCCCCACACUGGUACUGCGACACGGACCAGACUCCUACGGGAGGCAGCAGUGAGGAAUAUUGGACAAUGGGUGAGAGCCUGAUCCAGCCAUCCCGCGUGAAGGAUGACGGCCCUAUGGAUUGUAAACUUCUUUUGUACAGGGAUAAACCUACCCUCGUGAGGGUAGCUGAAGGUACUGUACGAAUAAGCACCGGCUAACUCCGUG